GAAAUGCGAUAAGUAAUGUGAAUUGCAGAAUUCAGUGAAUCAUCGAAUCUUUGAACGCACCUUGCGCUCCUUGGUAUUCCGAGGAGCAUGCCUGUUUGAGUGUCAUGGAAUUCUCAACUCUAUUUGCUUUUGUGAAUAGAGCUUGGAUUUGGAGGUUUAUUGCUGGUACUUGUGAUCGGCUCCUCUUGAAUGCAUUAGCUCGAACCUUUGCGGAUCAGCUAUCGGUGUGAUAAUUGUCUACGCCGUUGCAGUGAAGCAUAUCAAUGGGCUCGGCUUCCAAUCGUCAUUUACUGGACAAUGACUUUGACCUUUGACCUCAAAUCAGGUAGGAUUACCCGCUGAACUUAAGC
This 350-nucleotide unclassified non-coding RNA is filed under the name plant metagenome. RNAcentral describes it as "partial contains 5.8S ribosomal RNA, internal transcribed spacer 2, and large subunit ribosomal RNA". The stretch from base 1 to 105 matches the Rfam family "5.8S ribosomal RNA", at positions 50 to 154 of the family's 154-position model. The record is from RNAcentral.